AGUGAACGCUGGCGGUAUGCCUAACACAUGCAAGUCGAACGGCAGCACAGUAAGAGCUUGCUCUUACGGGUUGCGAGUGGCGGACGGGUGAGGAAUACAUCGGAAUCUACUUUUUCGCGGGGGAUAACGUAGGGAAACUUACGCUAAUACCGCAUCCGACCUACGGGUGAAAGCAGGGGAUCUUCGGACCUUGCGCGAUUGAAUGAGCCGAUGUCGGAUUAGCUAGUUGGCGGGGUAAAGGCCCACCAAGGCGACGAUCCGUAGCUGGUCUGAGAGGAUGAUCAGCCACACUGGAACUGAGACACGGUCCAGACUCCUACGGGAGGCAGCAGUGGGGAAUAUUGGACAAUGGGCGCAAGCCUGAUCCAGCCAUACCGCGUGGGUGAAGAAGGCCUUCGGGUUGUAAAGCCCUUUUGUUGGGAAAGAAAAGCAGCAGGUUAAUACCCCGCUGUUCUGACGGUACCCAAAGAAUAAGCACCGGCUAACUUCGUG
This 492-nucleotide ribosomal RNA is filed under the name uncultured bacterium. Its description in RNAcentral is "partial 16S ribosomal RNA". It matches the Rfam family "Bacterial small subunit ribosomal RNA", at positions 29 to 507 of the family's 1533-position model. The record is from RNAcentral.